GACGAACGCUGGCGGCGUGCUUAACACAUGCAAGUCGAACGGAAAGGCCCUGCUUUUGUGGGGUGCUCGAGUGGCGAACGGGUGAGUAACACGUGAGUAACCUGCCCUUGACUUUGGGAUAACUUCAGGAAACUGGGGCUAAUACCGGAUAGGAGCUCCUGCUGCAUGGUGGGGGUUGGAAAGUUUCGGCGGUUGGGGAUAGACUCGCGGCUUAUCAGCUUGUUGGUGGGGUAGUGGCUUACCAAGGCUUUGACGGGUAGCCGGCCUGAGAGGGUGACCGGCCACAUUGGGACUGAGAUACGGCCCAGACUCCUACGGGAGGCAGCAGCGGGGAAUAUUGCACAAUGGGCGGAAGCCUGAUGCAGCAACGCCGCGUGCGGGAUGACGGCCUUCGGGUUGUAAACCGCUUUCGCCUGUGACGAAGCGUGAGUGACGGUAAUGGGUAAAGAAGCACCGGCUAACUACGUG
Molecule: ribosomal RNA, 468 nt
Filed under: uncultured bacterium
Lineage: Bacteria
Description: partial 16S ribosomal RNA
Rfam family: Bacterial small subunit ribosomal RNA
Source: RNAcentral